UACGAAGGGUGCAAGCGUUACUCGGAAUCACUGGGCGUAAAGCGUGCGUAGGCGGUUCGUUAAGUCUGCUGUGAAAGCCCUGGGCUCAACCUGGGAACUGCAGUGGAUACUGGCGGACUUGAGGAGAGCAGAGGUGAGUGGAAUUCUCGGUGUAGUGGUGAAAUGCGUAGAUAUCGAGAGGAACACCAGCGGCGAAGGCGGCUCACUGGGCUCCACCUGACGCUGAGGCGCGAAAGCGUGGGGAGCGAACCGG
RNAcentral lists this ribosomal RNA (253 nucleotides) under uncultured bacterium. RNAcentral's name for it is "partial 16S ribosomal RNA". It matches the Rfam family "Bacterial small subunit ribosomal RNA", at positions 524 to 776 of the family's 1533-position model. The record is from RNAcentral.